This 424-nucleotide ribosomal RNA is filed under the name uncultured bacterium. RNAcentral's name for it is "bacterial SSU rRNA". It matches the Rfam family "Bacterial small subunit ribosomal RNA", at positions 954 to 1378 of the family's 1533-position model. The record is from RNAcentral.
GCAUAACGCGAAGAACCUUACCCACCUUUGACAUGGCAGGAACUUACCAGAGAUGGUUUGGUGCUCGAAAGAGAACCUGCACACAGGUGCUGCAUGGCUGUCGUCAGCUCGUGUCGUGAGAUGUUGGGUUAAGUCCCGCAACGAGCGCAACCCUUGCCAUUAGUUGCUACAUUCAGUUGAGCACUCUAAUGGGACUGCCGGUGACAAACCGGAGGAAGGUGGGAUGACGUCAAGUCCUCAUGGCCCUUAUAGGUGGGGCUACACACGUCAUACAAUGGCUGGUACAAAGGGUUGCCAACCCGCGAGGGGAGCUAAUCCACUAAAGCCAGUCGUAGUCCGGAUCGCAGUCUGCAACUACGACUGCGUGAAGUCGGAAUCGCUAGUAAUCGUGGAUCAGAAUGUCACGGUGAAUACGUUCCCGGGU